AUCAGAUGUCAUGCCCCACAAACACAUGUAUGAAAGUAAAAUCCAAUGGCUACAAACUUGACAGUUACAUACCAAACUUACUGGGCCUAUUUGAGGAGCAAUCGUGAAGACGUUUUGAGACAAGGGACAAUUUAUACUGCGGCAAGAAGGAACAUAUUCCUCCAUCUCAUGUUCUCUAUGAAAAUCUGUGUUCUUGUCAUUUUGUCCCAUCUGUUGGUCUGUCAGUGAAGUUUGCUUCAUCAUUUCUCAAUUGAGUGGAUGUAAUAUAUUAAAAAUCCAUUACGUACAGGU
Molecule: non-coding RNA, 291 nt
Organism: Macaca mulatta (Rhesus monkey)
Lineage: Eukaryota; Metazoa; Chordata; Mammalia; Primates; Cercopithecidae
Source: RefSeq, a predicted model, not a curated record